CUGAGUGACGACUCCAGCGAAGAGGAGAAUGUAGACCGUAACAAAAAACGUCCACAAUCGACUGCAGGAAGUGAAAUGCCUUCAAAUUCUGAUAUCGUGAAUAUGUUACUCCAACAGAAUCAAACUCUCAUGAAAAUUAUUCAGAAAGGGGGACAGAACCAUGGAUUCCAUUAGUGAGGUCAGUUUCGAAGCAGCACAAACUAUAUACGGUGAAGAUAGAAGACUACCAGAUAGUUCUCAAGGACUGUAUCUCACCCUCAGCAAAGCUCCAAUCAACUUUGAUCGCCUUCAAAAUUUAAAGGACCAGCUCCCAAAUGUCUUUCCUCCUGAGGUUUGCACCAAAAUUGCUAUCAGCUUGAGGGACAGCUCCAUGCACAAGUAUGAAAACCUGUAUAACAUUUUUAAAAGUUUCAUUCAUAAGGAGUAUGGAAGCGACAACAAAUUCCCCCUGUUAGCAAUUA
This is a long non-coding RNA of Macrobrachium nipponense, 461 nucleotides long. RefSeq lists it as uncharacterized. NCBI's taxonomy places the organism in Eukaryota, Metazoa, Arthropoda, Malacostraca, Decapoda, Palaemonidae. The transcript has 2 exons. The record is from RefSeq and is a predicted model, not a curated record.